AACGUAGGUGGCAAGCGUUAUCCGGAUUUACUGGGCGUAAAGGGUGCGUAGGCGGGUCUUUAAGUCAGGGGUGAAAUCCUGGAGCUCAACUCCAGAACUGCCUUUGAUACUGAGGAUCUUGAGUUCGGGAGAGGUGAGUGGAACUGCGAGUGUAGAGGUGAAAUUCGUAGAUAUUCGCAAGAACACCGGUGGCGAAGGCGGAUCUCUGGGCCGAUACUGACGCUGAGGAGCGAAAGCGUGGGGAGCGAACAGG
This 253-nucleotide ribosomal RNA is filed under the name uncultured bacterium. RNAcentral's name for it is "partial 16S ribosomal RNA". It matches the Rfam family "Bacterial small subunit ribosomal RNA", at positions 524 to 776 of the family's 1533-position model. The record is from RNAcentral.